Molecule: transfer RNA, 56 nt
Filed under: Loxodonta africana (African savanna elephant)
Lineage: Eukaryota; Metazoa; Chordata; Mammalia; Proboscidea; Elephantidae
Rfam family: tRNA
About the family: Transfer RNA (tRNA) molecules are approximately 80 nucleotides in length.
Source: Rfam by way of RNAcentral
UGGUUCAGUGGUAGAAUUCUUGCCUUCUAUGCAGGAGAUUCAGGUUCAUUUCCUGG